CUUCAAACAAAAGGGAUUCUAACCCCUACCCCUAACUCCCAAAGCUAGGAUCCUAAUUU
This 59-nucleotide transfer RNA is filed under the name Haplochromis burtoni (Burton's mouthbrooder). Its description in RNAcentral is "tRNA-Pro". The record is from RNAcentral. Lineage: Eukaryota; Metazoa; Chordata; Actinopteri; Cichliformes; Cichlidae.